CUGGCUCAGGAUGAACGCUGGCGGCGUGCUUAACACAUGCAAGUCGAACGAAGCAGUUUAUCACGAACCCUUCGGGGUGACGAUUUACUGACUGAGUGGCGGACGGGUGAGUAACGCGUGGGUAACCUGCCUUGUACAGGGGGACAACAGUUGGAAACGACUGCUAAUACCGCAUAAGCGCACAGUGUUGCAUGACACAGUGUGAAAAGAUUUAUCGGUACAAGAUGGACCCGCGUCUGAUUAGCUAGUUGGUGAGGUAACGGCCCA
Molecule: ribosomal RNA, 267 nt
Filed under: Pseudobutyrivibrio sp. ACV-2
Lineage: Bacteria; Bacillati; Bacillota; Clostridia; Lachnospirales; Lachnospiraceae
Description: 16S rRNA. Bacterial SSU
Rfam family: Bacterial small subunit ribosomal RNA
Source: RNAcentral